Molecule: ribosomal RNA, 493 nt
Filed under: uncultured bacterium
Lineage: Bacteria
Description: partial 16S ribosomal RNA
Rfam family: Bacterial small subunit ribosomal RNA
Source: RNAcentral
AUUGAACGCUGGCGGCAUGCUUUACACAUGCAAGUCGAACGGUAACAGGUUAAGCUGACGAGUGGCGAACGGGUGAGUAAUGCAUCGGAACGUGCCCGAUCGUGGGGGAUAACGCAGCGAAAGCUGCGCUAAUACCGCAUACGAUCUAAGGACGAAAGCGGGGGACCGUAAGGCCUCGCGCGAUCGGAGCGGCCGAUGUCAGAUUAGGUAGUUGGGGGGGUAAAGGCCCACCAAGCCGACGAUCUGUAGCUGGUCUACGAGGACGACCAGGCACACCGGGACUGAGACACGGGCCAGACUCCAACGGGACGCAGCAGGUGGGAAUUUUGGACAAUGGGCGAAAGCCUGAUCCAGCAAUUCCGCGUGCAGGAAGAAGGCCUUCGGGUUGUAAACUGCUUUUGUACGGAGCGAAAAGGUCCUUUCUAAUACAAGGGGCUCAUGACGGUACCGUAAGAAUAAGCACCGGCUAACUACGUGCCAGCCGCCGCGGUAA